CGCACGGCGCACGGGUGCGUAACACGUGGGUAACCUGCCCUCCAAAGGGGGAUAACCCGCCGAAAGGCGGGCUAAUACCGCAUGACAUUCCGGUGGCUUCGGCCGCCGGAAUCAAAGCUCGUAAGGGCGUUGGGGGAGGGGCCCGCGGCCGAUUAGCUUGUUGGCGAGGUAAUGGCUCACCAAGGCUUUGAUCGGUAGCCGGUCUGAGAGGAUGGCCGGCCACACUGGAACUGAGACACGGUCCAGACUCCUUCGGGAGGCAGCAGUGGGGAAUCUUGCGCAAUGGGCGAAAGCCUGACGCAGCGACGCCGCGUGGGGGAUGAAGCUUCUCGGAGUGUAAACCCCUUUCGACCCGGACGAAACGCCCGCAAGGGCUUGACGGUACGGGUAUAAGAAGCCCCGGCUAACUACGUGCCAGCAGCCGCGGUAAGACGUAGGGGGCCAGCGUUGCUCGGAAUUACUGGGCGUAAAGGGUUCGUAGGCGGUGCGGUAAGUCGGAAGUGAAAUCUCUGGGCUUAACCCAGAGGCUGCUUUCGA
Molecule: ribosomal RNA, 537 nt
Filed under: uncultured bacterium
Lineage: Bacteria
Description: bacterial SSU rRNA
Rfam family: Bacterial small subunit ribosomal RNA
Source: RNAcentral